UCAAAGACCGGGUAAACCGCCUCGACGGUUA
Molecule: small RNA, 31 nt
Filed under: Bombyx mori (domestic silkworm)
Lineage: Eukaryota; Metazoa; Arthropoda; Insecta; Lepidoptera; Bombycidae
Description: ovarian small RNA-24440
Source: RNAcentral